Molecule: microRNA precursor, 61 nt
Filed under: Pristionchus pacificus
Lineage: Eukaryota; Metazoa; Nematoda; Chromadorea; Rhabditida; Neodiplogasteridae
Description: mir-8364 microRNA precursor family
Rfam family: mir-8364 microRNA precursor family
Source: Rfam by way of RNAcentral
UCUUCAUUUCACACACUCUCUCGAUCGGUUGAGGGACGAGAGAGUGUGUGAAAUGAAGAGA